This 2027-nucleotide ribosomal RNA is filed under the name marine sediment metagenome. Its description in RNAcentral is "bacterial LSU rRNA". It matches the Rfam family "Bacterial large subunit ribosomal RNA", at positions 3 to 2002 of the family's 2925-position model. The record is from RNAcentral.
UCAAGCUACUAAGGGCGCAUGGUGGAUGCCUUGGCAUCGGGAGGCGAUGAAGGACGUGGUAAGCUGCGAUAAGCUUCGGUAAGCCGCUAAACAGGCUUUGACCCGGAGAUUUCCGAAUGGGGAAACCCGGCGGGGUUCAUACCCCGUCAUCUUACACUGAAUACAUAGGUGUAUGAGGCGAACGCAGGGAACUGAAACAUCUAAGUACCUGUAGGAGAAGAAAUCAAUUGAGAUUCUGCUAGUAGCGGCGAGCGAACGCGGAUUAGCCCAAACCAGAACUACUACGGUGGUUCUGGGGUUGUGGGGCCCCAACGUGGGAUUGGUGAUCGGUAAUAGAAGGCUCUGGAAAGUGCCGCCAUAGAGGGUGAUAGCCCCGUAUGUGAAACCGAGAUCCACCCUAGGGUAACCCCGAGUACCACGGGACACGAGAAAUCCUGUGGGAAGCUGGGAGGACCAUCUUCCAAGGCUAAAUACUCCCCGAUGACCGAUAGUGCAUAGUACCGUGAGGGAAAGGUGAAAAGAACUCCGAUGAGGAGAGUGAAAUAGACCCUGAAACCGUAUGCCUACAAGCAGUGGGAGCCCUAUGACUUCGGUCAGGGUGACCGCGUGCCUUUUGCAUAAUGAGUCAGCGAGUUACGCUCAGCAGCGAGGUUAAGCCGUUAGAGGUGUAGCCGUAGCGAAAGCGAGUCUGAAUAGGGCGAAUUAGUUGCUGGGAGUAGACCCGAAACCGGGUGAUCUAUCCAUGGGCAGGUUGAAGCGACGGUAACACGUCGUGGAGGACCGAACCCACUUAGGUUGAAAACUGAGGGGAUGACCUGUGGAUAGGAGUGAAAGGCUAAUCAAACUCGGAGAUAGCUGGUUCUCCCCGAAAUAUAUUUAGGUAUAGCCUCGUACGAAUCGUACCGGAGGUAGAGCACUGAAUGGGCUAGGGUCCUCACCAGGAUACCAAACCUAAUCAAACUCCGAAUGCCGGUAACGUCUAUACGGGAGUCAGUCUGCGGGUGAUAAGGUCCGUAGUCGAAAGGGAAACAACCCAGAUCGCCAGCUAAGGUCCCUAAAUUUGUGCUAAGUGGGAAAGGUUGUGGGAAUGCAUAAACAACCAGGAGGUUGGCUUAGAAGCAGCCACCCUUUAAAGAAAGCGUAAUAGCUCACUGGUCGAGUGGGCCUGCGCCGAAAAUGUAACGGGGCUCAAGCACAAUACCGAAGCUGCGGAUUUAACUGUAUGGUUAAGUGGUAGGGGAGCAUUGUAGCAACCGCUGAAGGUGUACCGUAAGGAGCGCUGGAGGAACUACAAGAGCUUAUGCUGACAUGAGUAGCGAAAAUGUGGGUGAGAAACCCACACACCGUAAGCCCGAGGUUUCCUUUGUUAAGGUAAUCUGCGAAGGGUUAGUCGGCCCCUAAGGCGAGGGCGAAAGCCGUAGUCGAUGGGAAACAGGUUAAUAUUCCUGUACCUCUUUUAACUGCGAUGGGGGGACGGAGAAGGGUAGACCAUCCGGGUGUUGGAUGUCCCGGUUUAAGCGAGUAGGCGGGGAAGGCAGGCAAAUCCACUUUCCUAUGAAACGCCAAGACGUGAUGACGAGAGCUUUAAGCUCAUAAAGUGGUUAAUCCCAUGCUUCCAAGAAAAGCCUCUAAGCUUCAGGUUAUAAGAGACCGUACCGAAAACCGACUCAGGUGGGCGGGCAGAAAAUGCCAAGGUGAUUGAGAUAACUCUGGUUAAGGAACUCGGCAAAAUAACACCGUAACUUCGGGAGAAGGUGUGCCUCCAUUAGGUGAUACGACUUGCUCGUGGAGCCGAAGGGGGUCGCAGAGAAAUGGCGGUAGCGACUGUUUACUAAAAACACAGCACUCUGCAAACUCGUAAGAGGAAGUAUAGGGUGUGACGCCUGCCCGGUGCUGGAAGGUUAAGGGGAUGUGUUAGCGCAAGCGAAGCAUUGAACCGAAGCCCCAGUAAACGGCGGCCGUAACUAUAACGGUCCUAAGGUAGCGAAAUUCCUUGUCGGGUAAGUUCCGACCUGCACGAAUGGCGU